Lethenteron reissneri (Far Eastern brook lamprey) is the source of this 1258-nucleotide long non-coding RNA. RefSeq lists it as uncharacterized. The record is from RefSeq and is a predicted model, not a curated record. NCBI's taxonomy places the organism in Eukaryota, Metazoa, Chordata, Hyperoartia, Petromyzontiformes, Petromyzontidae.
AGUGGCGAAUUGCGGCCAUUGUCGUUGUGAGUUUGUGGGCUUGUGUGUGAGUAAUGGUGAUUGAGUGUGUGACUAUCAUGUCGUGUGCGUGUGAGUUGGAUGGUAGGGGUGUGUUUAUGAGGGUGAGUGUGUGUGGGUGUGUGAGUAUCAUGGUGAGUAUGUGAGUGAUGGUAUGUGACAGUGUGAGUUUGAUGGUGAUUGUAUCAUGGUGAGUGCAAGCAAUACUGUGAGCUUGACUUAUUUCCCCCCCCCUCCCUUUACCCACUCUUCCUCCCUCUCCCUGCCCUCCCCUCACUCUCCCCCAACCCUCUACUUCCCUGCCUCUAUCCCUCUCGGCGUGGCCGAGUGGUUACUUCUAAAGAAUUAUGGAACUCUUUAUCCCUCUCCUUUCUCCCGUAACUACCUCGCCUGUUAUACAGGAGAUCGUGGGUUUGAUCCCUACCCUCACAUCUGCUAUAUAUUUCGAGUUUGCAUGUCUCUCUCUCCCCGUGGUCGCGUUCAGAGUGUUUGGUUUCUAUAAAUGUCGACGUGAUGAUAGGCCACUUCGUUGACCUAUCAUUUGUGGCAUUUUCCCGUCUGAAGAAGAGCUGUGUAGCACGGUGGGCAUUACCUGGAAAAAUUUAAAUAGUUUAGUUUCCUCUUUUCCUCCUCCCUUCCUCCCUCUCCACACCCAUCCCCCCCAGCACAACAACAAGAAGCAGGAGGAGGAUGGUUUGUUUCCCAAGCCGAGCACUUCCGGGUCCACCUUCAUGAUCCUCCCUCUGCCCCGGGGGUGGGGGCGGGGAGAUCCCCUUGAACAGGGUUACGCUGCUACUUCCGUUAAGGCCGGGGCAAGUGGAGGCGGCGCUGUGCAUUGUGGGUGGCGAGAGGCUGAUUUGGAUUCCCUCUCACGGCCACCAUUGGUGGUUCGCGAGCUUCUGAAGUGGCGGCUCGCUGGCUGGGCCUCCUCUACGUCGACUCAGCCAGAAGAAUGUGGUGCAGGUUCAGGAGUUUACUGGCUGCACUCCGACCUUUGGCCUUGGCUGUCGCCCAAGUGGGAUUGUCGCACAGCAGUCAAACCCAUAGCAUCAGUAUCUGUCCCAUGACCUCCUCCUGCACCUAGCCUGGCACAGCAGUCAACCCAUGACACCUGGCUCUGUCUCGUGACCUCCUGCACAUAGCCUGGCACAGCAGUCAACCCAUGGCACCUGGGUUGUUGUGAUAUCACCAUUAUGUAGUGGAAAAUUACGGCUGUUGUCGUUGUGAGUUUAUAGGUUUG